Molecule: ribosomal RNA, 437 nt
Filed under: uncultured bacterium
Lineage: Bacteria
Description: partial 16S ribosomal RNA
Rfam family: Bacterial small subunit ribosomal RNA
Source: RNAcentral
AGCGAACGCUGGCGGCAUGCUUAACACAUGCAAGUCGCGCGGGUGGUUUCGGCCAUCAGCGGCGGACGGGUGCGUAUCGCGUAGGAAUGUAUCCCGAGGUGGGGGACAACCCUGGGAAACUGGGGCUAAUACCGCAUGGGUCCUGUGGGUCAAAGCCUUAGGGCGCCUUGGGAGCAGCCUGCGUCCGAUUAGGUAGUUGGUGGGGUAAAGGCCUACCAAGCCUGCGAUCGGUAGCUGGUCUGAGAGGACGAUCAGCCACACUGGGAAUGAGACACGGCCCAGACUCCUACGGGAGGCAGCAGUGGGGAAUAUUGGACGAUGGGCGCAAGCCUGAUCCAGCAAUGCCGCGUGGGUGAAGAAGGUCUUCGGAUUGUAAAGCCCUUUCGGCGGGGACGAUGAUGACGGUACCCGCAGAAGAAGCCCCGGCUAACUUCGUG